RNAcentral lists this ribosomal RNA (301 nucleotides) under uncultured bacterium. RNAcentral's name for it is "partial 16S ribosomal RNA". It matches the Rfam family "Bacterial small subunit ribosomal RNA", at positions 509 to 808 of the family's 1533-position model. The record is from RNAcentral.
CAGUCGCCACGGUAAUACGAAGGGGGCUAGCGUUGUUCGGAUUUACUGGGCGUAAAGGGCGCGUAGGCGGGCUGAUAAGUCGGGGGUGAAAUCCCAAGGCUCAACCUUGGAACUGCCUUUGAUACUGUUGGUCUUGAGUCCGGGAGAGGUGAGUGGAACUGCGAGUGUAGAGGUGAAAUUCGUAGAUAUUCGCAAGAACACCAGUGGCGAAGGCGGCUCACUGGCCCGGAACUGACGCUGAGGCGCGAAAGCGUGGGGAGCAAACAGGAUUAGAUACCCCGGUAGUCCCGUCUCUUAUACC